Molecule: microRNA precursor, 161 nt
Filed under: Paramuricea clavata
Lineage: Eukaryota; Metazoa; Cnidaria; Anthozoa; Malacalcyonacea; Plexauridae
Source: RNAcentral
UUCCCGUGUUGACAUGGAGUUAUAUCAACACGGCUCUUAGCCAAUCAGCAUUCAGAAUUUACAAAUGCUAUAUUAUAAAUAUAUUUAUAAUAUAGCAUUUGUAAAUUCUGAACGCUGAUUGGCUAAGAGCCGUGUUGAUAUAACUCCAUGUCAACACGGGA